GGGGUAGUAUCAAAAAAUUUUUUUCUAGCAUUUAUCAUUAAAAAUAGGGGGAGAAAUUAGAAUUAUAAGAAAAAUAAUUUUUAAAUUUUAAAAAAAAUUAUUGAUAAACUUUUGUACUUUACUUAGAUAUAUAAAUUUGUUUGAGCAUUCUUGUUAUUGUGUUCAUGUGAUUUAUUUUGGAAGAAUCAUUUUUGAACAUAAAAAGAGAAAUUAUUAUUCAACUUAAAAGAGA
RNAcentral lists this long non-coding RNA (232 nucleotides) under Elaeis guineensis (African oil palm). Its description in RNAcentral is "long non-coding RNA (EGUI_LNC014679)". Lineage: Eukaryota; Viridiplantae; Streptophyta; Magnoliopsida; Arecales; Arecaceae. The record is from RNAcentral.